CAGACAAUAAGUUAACAAAACUCCUUAUUUUGGAAAUAAAAAUUCACGAUCUGUGUUGUCUGA
Molecule: transfer RNA, 63 nt
Filed under: Typosyllis sp. patternB
Lineage: Eukaryota; Metazoa; Annelida; Polychaeta; Phyllodocida; Syllidae
Description: tRNA-Pro
Source: RNAcentral